This 427-nucleotide ribosomal RNA is filed under the name uncultured bacterium. RNAcentral's name for it is "bacterial SSU rRNA". It matches the Rfam family "Bacterial small subunit ribosomal RNA", at positions 355 to 774 of the family's 1533-position model. The record is from RNAcentral.
UGGGGAAUUUUGGACAAUGGGCGCAAGCCUGAUCCAGCAAUGCCGCGUGCAGGAUGAAGGCCUUCGGGUUGUAAACUGCUUUUGUACGGAGCGAAAAGGUUUGCCCUAAUACGGUGGGCUCAUGACGGUACCGUAAGAAUAAGCACCGGCUAACUACGUGCCAGCAGCCGCGGUAAUACGUAGGGUGCGAGCGUUAAUCGGAAUUACUGGGCGUAAAGCGUGCGCAGGCGGUUAUAUAAGACAGAGGUGAAAUCCCCGGGCUCAACCUGGGAACUGCCUUUGUGACUGCAUAGCUAGAGUACGGUAGAGGGGGAUGGAAUUCCGCGUGUAGCAGUGAAAUGCGUAGAUAUGCGGAGGAACACCGAUGGCGAAGGCAAUCCCCUGGACCUGUACUGACGCUCAUGCACGAAAGCGUGGGGAGCAAACA